GACCACUGUGGUUUAUAACUUGCUGAUAGAGCAAUAGUCUAUUAGAAUUAUUAGUCUAAGUGUAUUAUUGGCUGAGUGUCUACCCUCGAUAAAACCUGUUUGAUAAGGAUAUAUUAUGAAUGGAGUAUUUUGCAAAGUAUUUUAAGGUCUGCAUUUAUAAGUGAAAUUGGGCGGCAGCUGGAUAGGAGUGUAGGAUCUUAUUCUGGUUUAAGAAGUAGACUAAUGGUGGCUAAGUUUAUCUUUAAGGAUUAAGAUUGUUUGUUCUGCAUUUGAGUGACCAUUCUGAAAAAACAGGUGCUAGAGAAGGCCAAAUGUCAGCAUCAGAAGGAUUAGUCUGUGAUGAGUAUAAAGCUUCAUAAAAGUUUUUAAAAUAUUUAUUUAUUUGCUGUGGGUCAUGAGGAAUCUCCCCAGUGGAAUCCUUUAUAGAAUAAAUUUCUUUUUCUUUUUUUUUUUUUUUUUUUAGCUUUAACUGGUUUGUAAGGAAUUUUCUAGAUUUAUGUUCAAAGUUCUCCAAAUACCAACUUUGCAUCAGAGACUGUGUUUCCUCAGUAAUUACUUCAUUUAAUUUCAGUUUUCUCAGGUUGUAAAUUAUAUAUUCUUAUGGUGAGGUAGUUGUAAAGAUUUAAUUCUUUAUUCUAGUUAAUGAAACAACUAAUACAAGUAUUUUCCCUUCAUCUCUUAUAUGAACAUUAAUUUUCCUGUUGUCCAUAGCCAGGUGAUUCCUGGCAGGUCAUUAUUAUAUAAAUACAUGUUUUCCCUUGGCCCAACACCACAUAGAUUCCAUGUAACAAACCUCAGUGUGGUCAUGUUUAAACUAACUGGUGGAGUGUUGAAUGUUAAAGUUGUCUGUGCGUGUCUGUGUAUCUGUUAUCUUGUAUGGCUGUAUAUAAUUGUAGCUCAGCUCGUCGACUUCCCAAACGAUGGACACAAUGAAAAGCGAUGUUUUUAACUAUGUCCUCCAGGAGUUUCAGGUGAGUCUGGAUAAAAUCACUCACCGUUGU
Long non-coding RNA from Astatotilapia calliptera (eastern happy), 1001 nucleotides. The record is from Ensembl. NCBI's taxonomy places the organism in Eukaryota, Metazoa, Chordata, Actinopteri, Cichliformes, Cichlidae.